CGGGGUGUAGCUCAGCUUGGUCAGAGCGCCUGCUUUGGGAGCAGGAAGCCGUAGGUUCGAAUCCUAUCACCCCGACCA
This 78-nucleotide transfer RNA is filed under the name Rickettsiales bacterium. RNAcentral describes it as "tRNA-Pro". It matches the Rfam family "tRNA". Rfam says of the family: Transfer RNA (tRNA) molecules are approximately 80 nucleotides in length. Their secondary structure includes four short double-helical elements and three loops (D, anti-codon, and T loops). Lineage: Bacteria; Pseudomonadati; Pseudomonadota; Alphaproteobacteria; Rickettsiales. The record is from RNAcentral. RNAcentral also lists the same sequence under 5 other names.